CCCGAAGAUUAUAUUAUCAUCGUUUCAACCACGGUUAUUGCGACUACCACCAAUAAAACCAGCCCAGCAGCGCACAACGCCGCGGUGCUACAAGAUAAUAGAAGUUUUCUGUAGACUUCCCCGAGUCCCGGCAGACAGGAUUUAUUCACAGAAGAAGCCCCACAGAUAUCCCCAGCCGCCUUGGGAAAGCACAGAGGCGUGCCGCCUCUCUCCCGGUGAGGCUUGGCUCGCACUUUUACGUCGUGGUGUGCUUGUUUUAAGGUUUCUACAUCCCAACCCGCCCUCGGUAUUUCUGUGCAGCGGAGGAAAAAGGAAAAGAAAAAGACCACCGCCGACCCACAGCCCCGCGGCUGCUCUCGCCCCACAGCCUGGUGCUGCGCCCGCGGCGCGGGGGCGAGCGGAGCUCUGAUGUGGGCAGAGCUUGCUCUGUGCUUGGGAGCUACGGCGCCUUUCUUUCUUUUAUUUUUUUUUCUUUUUUUUUUUCUUUAAAUUUUUCUUUUUUUUUUUUUCUUUAAUUUUUUUCUUUUUUUUUUCUUUAUUUUUUCCUUUAUUAUUAUUUUUUCUUUAUUAUUAUUUUCCUUUAUUAUUUUUAUUAACGCGCUUAUGUGACUGGAAAUAUAUAUCAAAAUUCUUUAUGUAGGGCACUAAGUGUAUGUGUAUAUUUAGGCUAGCUGCUGAAGAAGUCCAGGACAAGCAGGAAGAGAGCUGCUCUCCUCUCUGAGGUCGGCGUGGCACUGUAAAACACGACGGGGAGAGUAAAAACUCCGCAAUCCGCUUCAUCCCUCG
This is a non-coding RNA of Anas platyrhynchos (mallard), 786 nucleotides long. The record is from RefSeq and is a predicted model, not a curated record. Lineage: Eukaryota; Metazoa; Chordata; Aves; Anseriformes; Anatidae.